UUAAAAGUUUGAGUGCAUUACCUGAAUUUUCUUGGGUUAGAUGGCUUUUCAUCUGACAGCUCAACAGAAAAGUUCAACAAUGGGGGAAUCUUUAGUUUUGUCCUGAUUGUUUACGCUUUUACAUUUACACGAAAAUCUACAACUGCAGCAGCAAAUUAAUAUAAAGUUCCAAAAUCUCGUACCACUAUGUUUAACAAAAAUUAAAACUGUGCUAAAACAUUUUUAUUGUGCUUUCAAAAUGGUCAAGUUAUGAUGACAUUUUGAAAUUUGAUAAUCCUUUAAAGGAAACUACAAUCCUAGAAUUUUUAACGACAAAAUCAUCUUUAAUCGUAAAAAAAGAAAAAACAAGUAGUGAUCAACAGGGUGUUUUUUAUUUUUUUAGAAUUAUUAUAAGAGUUCUGACAUAAAAAAAAAACCUUGUGUAAAGUUGCGCUUGUCUGUGAAAGUGCAUUACUUAUGAAUUAUUAAUUUUGUUUUUGUAUUUGUACUUUUUUCUCAAUUGUGUAUGUGUAUUUUGUACUCACGUCUUUUUGUUUUUAUGUAUUUUAAACUUAUGUCCUACAACUUGUGUGUUGUAAAUGUGUAGCCCUUAGUUGUA
Hydra vulgaris (swiftwater hydra) is the source of this 598-nucleotide non-coding RNA. NCBI's taxonomy places the organism in Eukaryota, Metazoa, Cnidaria, Hydrozoa, Anthoathecata, Hydridae. The record is from RefSeq and is a predicted model, not a curated record.